AAAUAUAUUUAUGUGUCCUUCGCAUUAUUUUCCAAGAACUAUAAUAUCGUAGGUGUUGUUUGUGCCUGUCUCUGUUUAAAAAAACGACUUUCAAGACAAAAUCUAUACUUAUUGAGUAAGGACAUAAUUGCAUAUGUAGUCAUGCAGGAUAAAAUUAAUUUGAUGCAGUUAGGCAGGGUCACUCCAUCUAAAGUGGAUUAAUUUCUGUUUGUAGUUAUAACAUGUAUAAUUCAAUUAAAAAAAAUUGAGAUGUGAAAUAAUUGCCAAUGAAACAACUAUAUCCACCAGAGUUUAAAUGACAUAGACAUAAUCAAUAGUAUAUUUGCCAAUUACCGAUUUGACUAUAUUGUUACACACGUUUAACACAAGUAGUUUCCCUUUGUCAAUUUUAAACUGGUUCUAAACUGGACAAAAUGGGCAGCUGCCCAUGCAAAGCAAGAUAAGUUGAAAGUAAUAAAUAUACAACAAAAUCAACAACAACAAAAAAUCAAUUGAUAUCAAAUUUUUUUAGCUUACCAGAAAAGUAAAAGAUAUUAAAAUAUUUUAAAAACUUGAAUAUUACAUACAUUACACACAUAUGGAGUUGUACUUUUUGCAAAAACGUUAAUGUUAUAACCAUCACCGUGUCGAUGUCUCUGCUGGUGGACUGUAAGUCACCGAGGGUAGCAUUAGCCCGGUAGUCAGUACAACGGUAUUGGCAUGAAAAUACGUCACCGAGGGUAGCAUUAGCCAGGUAUUCAGUACAACGGUAUUGGCAUGAAAAUACGUCACCGAGGGUAGUUUAAGCCAGGUAGUCAGUACUACGAUACUGGCAUGAAAAUACGUCACUGAGGGUAGCAUUAGCCAGGUAGUCAGUACAACGGUACUGGCAUGAAAAUACGUCACCGAGGGUAGCAUUAGCCAGGUAGUCAGUACAACGGUAUUGGCAUGAAAAUACGUCACCGAGGGUAGCAUUAGCCAGGUAGUCAGUACAACGGUAUUGGCAUGAAAAUACGUCACCGAGGGUAGCAUUAGCCAGGUAGUCAGUACAACGGUAUUGGCAUGAACAUACGUCACAGAGGGUAGUUUAAGCCAGGUAGUCAGUACAACGGUACUGGCAUGAAAAUACGUCACCAAGGGUACCUUUAGCCAGGUAUCCAGAACUAGGAUACUGGCAUGAAAAUACGUCACCGAAGGUACCUUUAGCCAGGUAUCCAGAACUAGGAUACUGGCAUGAACAUAUGGAUAGUGUUUUAUCUAAAUUUUCUGAUAUAAAGUUUCGAAAUAAUUUAAAAUCAAAGAAUGUAUAUAUCUCUUUCGUGCAUAGCUCUGAUUCCUUAUAUGGGGUUUUUGGUCCUUUUUGGUUUAUCAGCUCUUCAACAGUUGGAAUAAUAAAUGAGUUGGAUUUUCACAUAUUUGUAACUCGAGCAUUACUGAAGAUACAUUUAUUGUCGAAAUGCACAUCCAAUGCAGUAAACUGGUACCGUUAAUGUCAUUGAUAGGUUGCAUAAGGGAACACAGUCGAUUGAUUAAAAUCCACAGAAACCUAUUCAUCUCUUGUCUAUUUAUCCAAGUCAUAAACAUCUACAUUAUAAUAUCUGUAUCCGAAAAAAAACAACAUUUCAAGUACGGUAGCGAAGAAGGCAAUUCACCGUUUCAGAAUCUAUAGGACUGUUCGUACCCUAAAAUGAAAAUUACGUCACUUCAUUGGUUGAAUUUCCAUUAUUCAGGACGUUUUUAACCAAUCAUAUCGUUUUGGUGUACAUUUUAAUGAAUAUUACCCAGAAUGCAUUAGAUUCUGAAACGGCGAAUCCUUACCUUCGUAAUACGAAAAUGAAACACAAGAACACAAUGCUAUUUUAACAAUUAUAAAAUAAUAUUCACUCUCUCGGCAUUUUGAUGACAAUUCUGUAGUUAUAACAAAUAUAAUAUUGUUUUUU
Mytilus californianus (California mussel) is the source of this 1919-nucleotide long non-coding RNA. RefSeq lists it as uncharacterized. The transcript has 5 exons. The record is from RefSeq and is a predicted model, not a curated record. NCBI's taxonomy places the organism in Eukaryota, Metazoa, Mollusca, Bivalvia, Mytilida, Mytilidae.